Peromyscus maniculatus bairdii (prairie deer mouse) is the source of this 600-nucleotide non-coding RNA. NCBI's taxonomy places the organism in Eukaryota, Metazoa, Chordata, Mammalia, Rodentia, Cricetidae. The record is from the annotation of a RefSeq genome assembly.
AUGAAGUUUCCUGUUGUGCUGUUGGUGCUACUGGUAUUCAGGGUUCCUGCUUCCAGAGGGGAUAUUGUGAUGAUUCAAACUCCAGUUUCCCUGCCUGUCAGCCUUGGAGAUAAGGCCUCCAUCUCUUGCAGGUCUAGUCAGAGCCUUGCACAUAGUAAUGGAAACAGCUUUUUGGAAUGGUACCUGCAGAAGCCAGGCCAGUCUCCACAGCCCCUGAUAUAUGAGGUCUCCAAGAGAUUAUCUGGAGUUCCAGACAGGUUCAGUGGCAGUGGGUCAGGCACAGACUUCACACUCAAGAUCAGCAGAGUGGAGCCUGAUGAUUUGGGAGUUUAUUUUUGUCUCCAAGCUUCUUAUUUACCUCCCACAGUGAUUCAGACCUUAACAAAAACUAUUCUUGGGGUAGCCCAGCUGCCAAAUAAGUUACUUAUCUGUGUGAGAGAGAGAAUGGUGCUGAGGGCCUCACACCUCACUGGUCAUGCAUUUCUGGUCUCAUCAACAGCAAUAACAAUGACAUUUCACCUGUCUCAGGAAAUUGGUAAACAUGUCCCCUCUCAGCAACUAGGGACAAUGAGGUUAAAGCUAAACAAAAACUUACUCUGA